Long non-coding RNA from Trichechus manatus latirostris (Florida manatee), 2148 nucleotides. RefSeq lists it as uncharacterized. The record is from RefSeq and is a predicted model, not a curated record. NCBI's taxonomy places the organism in Eukaryota, Metazoa, Chordata, Mammalia, Sirenia, Trichechidae. The transcript has 2 exons.
CGAGUGUCCGGUGUGCGUGAUGUCCCGGGGUGAUGUGCUUUGAGGCCUUCGCUUCUCCGUUGCCCUCCCUCCACUCCUCCGUCUCAUCUAAAAGCCGCAAAAGGUUCCUUCUCUCCUCUGUAUCAAUCUCGUCCCAGACUGGCGGGUCUCAGGGUAGAUGCUGCGUUCACCUCCGAAUACUGCAGUUCCUCUGUCCUUCACAGCAACUGCCGGGUCCAGAGUGUUGAUCACUGUGGCCUGGUCUGGGCUUUGUCUGGCCGCGAAUCAUGGCUCCUUUCAGCAAGUUAUGCCUUCCCUUUACCCCUGCCCAGUAUCUUUGGCUAUACCAGGCGUCUCCAAAUUGCUCUGCCCCACGAGCUGAGGAAUCUGAAGCCGCAAGAGAUAAAGAAACUUGCCCAGGAGAUCACACAGCUAAGGAGAUGUGGAGCCAGGAUUUGAGCAUUGCCAGUUUGAUUUUUAACUUGUAUUGUCUAGGUUGUCAUCUUGAGCUUUGGAUUUAUUAAAAACAAACAAACCAACCCAUUGCCGUCGAGUUGGUUCCAACUCAUAGCGACCCGAUAGGACAGAGUGGAAUUGCACCAUAGGAUUUCCAAGUAGUGGCUGGUGGAUUCAAACUGCUGACCUUUUGGUUAGCAGCUGAGCUCUUAACUACUGUGCCACCAGGGCUCUUUUGGGUUUAUAGGACUUAUACUUUGUUUUAGGAUAUAGAGUAAUUAUAUAUUUUCCAAAUAUUCUGAUAAUGGGUGAUAGGUAAAUGUAGACUUUAUCCAGUAAUUUAAACUAGUUCAUUUCAUUUGUGCUCCCAUGCAUAAGAAAAUAGAUUUCUGCUUCCCAUCUGAUCUCAGAAAGCUGAGAAGAUUCAGGACUGAUUAGGAAUGAAUGUCAUUUAGCUCCAAAGUCUUCCUUUCUGAAAGAGGAAUUAAUAAAUAAUCAAAAGGCAUACAGCAGGAAGGAAAAGAACCUAUAUAAUUAAAAAUUGAAUGUACAGACUCAGAUAAUUGAGAAUUUACCACAUGGCUUGUUGGAGAGAACAUUCAACUAGAAGAUAGAAGGACAUAUGACUUUGAAAAAACCAACCUCCCAAACUGUCAGUUUCUUCAUCUAUUAAACAGCAGAGAUUUCUGUCCUGCCUGUCUUACUGGGUUGUUUCAAAAAUCAAAUGAGAUGCUGUAUGUGAAAGUAUGUUGAAAGUUGUAGAGUAGUGGUAUAUUAAUAACAGAAGUAUACAAUGAGAAGAAAUUUUAGAAGCUCUUGAAGUAGACCACCACUUGAGAGUCAAUUUGCAAACAUUUCUUUCAAUGGGAAAUAAAAAGAAUUUGAUGAUUACUUUGAAUUUGACCAAGAGUUUUGGAAUUGUUUUUAAAAGUGCUGUAUUUAAUUCUCUUAUAUUGGCCACAUAGAUACUUAUUUUAUUAAGGGUCUGGGAAUAAUUAACUUCCUUAACCUUCACUAAACAACAUUAGAGGAAAACAAAAGUGUCUCCCUAACACUUGAGCUAGGAACAAUACUAGGUAUAAAUCAUAAAGUCUGUUUUUUUGUACUUUUGAAAGUGUACUGUGUAAUGCAAUAAAUUACCUUCUUUGUUUUCAAUUUUUAAAAGUGAAUUUUAUAAUUAAUAAAGAACUUUUUUUCUCCACACACAAAAGGAAAACUAACAUAUAAUGCAUUUUCUAUUGUUCACAUAUUUUGUUGUUGGAAACCAUUUAGGAGAGCACUCGGUCAGAUAGAACGAAAAAGGGGAGAGAUUAUGCAGUUUGAGGCAGAAAAAUUGAGUUUCAGUUCUGUCACUAGCUGUGUGACUUAGGAUAAGUCACAAUCUCCCUGAGGCUCUGUUUAGUAGUCUGUAAAGUGAAUAUGUGGAAACCCUGGUGGUGUAGUGGUUAAGUGCUGGGGCUAUUAUCCAAAAUGUUGGCAGUUCAAAUCCACCAGGUGCUCCUUGGAAACUCUACGGGGCAGUUCUACUCUGCCGUACAGGGUUACUAUGAGUUGGAGUUGACUUAACAGCAAUGGGGUUUUUUUUUUUUUUAAGUGAAUAUAAUUCUGCCUUCUCACAAGGCUGUUAUGAUUAAAUAAGGGAAUAUAUGUAAAAGUGUUUGAUUAACUGUAAGACACUAAAUUUCAUACAUAAAAUACAAGCUUUUAAUUGUU